CAUCAGCUUCAUUGGGUUAAAACUGGAGGAAUGGUGAGCAGAAAAACUAAAGAAAUGUAAAAAAAAAAAAAAAAAAGUCCUAAAAAAGUAACCAUUACCCGAGGAAGAAAGAUUGGAUUCCAGCUUCCCCUUCCCUUCCUUUCCUGCUUAUAUAUCUUCAAAUGUGCAAUUUUUUUUUCAGUAAAAGAACACCCCAUGAGCAACCCAGGACUAUACUCCCAUCUUUCCAUGUCCUUCCUCCCUAUUUUCCCCCAUACUCCAAGGAGCCGCUUUCCUGUAACACCAAGAGAAAAGGAGGUUUCUUGGAAAUGCAUCUCAUCACAAGAGUCCAUGCAGGCUCUGACUGCCUCCAGACUUGUGACUUUCACUGCGUUGGGGAGUGAAGACCCUUGUCUCUGGAAGCCAAGACUUUCCAGCAAACAACAGUGUGCCAGACUCUCCGAGGAUGUAAACCAACCCAAAAGCGCCCAGCUAUUUCAGCACAGCAUAAGCAACCG
Molecule: long non-coding RNA, 497 nt
Filed under: Sus scrofa (pig)
Lineage: Eukaryota; Metazoa; Chordata; Mammalia; Artiodactyla; Suidae
Description: lncRNA (ENSSSCG00070022429.1)
Source: RNAcentral